This 84-nucleotide transfer RNA is filed under the name Tetragonia tetragonoides. Its description in RNAcentral is "tRNA-Ser". Lineage: Eukaryota; Viridiplantae; Streptophyta; Magnoliopsida; Caryophyllales; Aizoaceae. The record is from RNAcentral.
AUCUUAGUUUGAGCUAGGGAGCUUCGGUCUUGAAAACCGAAGUAUUGAUAGGAAUACCGGGGGUUCGAAUCCCUCUCCAUCCGC